CUUGUAAAAAUGCAAGCUUCUCUGCCCUGUGCUAAAACUAUGGAGCACAAGACCCUGGCAAAUGUUGAAGAACAGUGCGAGUGUCUGAUUAAAUCCACGAUCCAGCUGGAGGCCAGAGUCAAGGAGCUGUCUGAGCGGUGAAGAAAGAAGAGGAGAUAAAUUGUGAGCUGCCUGCCAGGGGGUGGAAACUCGAAGAUGAACGUUCCGGGGUAAAGAAAGAAAUCGAUGACCUGGAAACAAUAUUGGCAAAGUCGGAGAAGGAGAGGCAUGUUACAGAGCACAAGAUAUCUUAUGAGACUUUGGACUACAAAAGAGAGAAGUUGGCACUAUUAUUCUCAGCCCAUCCAUGGUGUAUGCUUCUCACAAGCCAAGAAUCUGACUGAGGAGGUGGGAUCUCUAAACUUAACAAACUUAACAGAGCAACCAAGACUGCACGGGAGGUCCAUCAGCAGAUGCUGGACUACCUGCACGUGGAAGAGGGGAAAGUUCACAACCUGAGCAAAGCACAUCUAAAAGUGGGGCAGCAAGUCAGCGAGGAAGAAGCUGGCCGUUCGGUUGCAGGGAGCUGCUGAAGCCAUGGGGGUGGCCAGUGCCAGAAAUGCCUCCCUGGAGAGGGCCAGACACCGACUGCAGCUCGAGCUCGGGGACGCCCUGUCUGACCUGGGGAGGGCCCGCUCUGCAGCAGCCCUGAGGGACCAGAAGCUGUGGCGCUCAGACAAGGCCCUCGCCGACUGGAAGCAGCAGCAGGAGGAGUGCCAGGCCUUGCUGGGUGCCUCUCAGAAGGAUGCCUGUGCUCUCAGCACCGAGCUGCUCGAGCUCAGACAUGCCUAUGAGGACAGCACCAUGGGCCAGGAGACACUCAGGAGGGAGAACAAGAUCCUCCAAGAAGAGGUUUCUAAUCUGACAAACCAGCUUAGAGGAGGAACCAAGAAGUUAACUGAAGUGGAAAAGGUCAAGAAACUGAUUGAAUGAGAAAAGACCGAAGUCCAGGAGACACGGGAAGAAGCAGAGGGAACUCUGGAGCAGAAUGAAAGCAAGAUUCUUCUCUUCCAUCUUGAACUUUGGGAAGCUAAAGCAGAAUUUGAAAGCUUGUGGAGAAAAAUACAGAAAUAGAAAAUGUUAAGGACUGACUGCGGUGAGGGAUUCUGAUCUACUUAAGAGGCUCUGAGUCAGUGUCUCAAAGAAUUUUUCUGAUGAAGGAAAAAAAUCACUGUACCUUGAUAUUUGCCCUACUUCAUUCCAUGGAGAACAAAAAAUGAACAUGUCCUUGUGCAGUUUUCAAAAACCUGAUUUCAGGAGGAAACAGCAGUGUGCUAUUGACUCCCUGCAGUCAAGUCUGGAUUCUGAGGUUAGGGGCAGAACCGAGGCUACCUGGCUGAAGAAGAUGGAAGUGGAAGUCAGUUGGAGCUCCAGGUUCAUGGUGCCAGCUGCAAUAGCCUGGAAGGGUGAUUUUUAUUCCCCAACACCCUGCUCCCCAGAUGGCUGCAGCUGAUGCUGACUUCUGCUCCGGGACUCUUGUUUCAACAUCCACCAAAAAGAGAAGGUAGGGCCGAUGUCGCGGCACAGCAGAUAAGGCUACCGCUUACAAUGCCAGUGUCCCAUGUGGGGGCCAGUUAGAGUAGCUGCCCCACUUCUGAUCCAGCUCCCCACUGAUGGCCUGGGAAAAGCAGCAGAAGAGGGCCCAAGUACCCUGGUGGGAGACCUGGAAGAAGCUCUUGGCUCUUGGCUUCCACUUGGCCCCAGUGCUGGCUGAUGCAGCCAUCUGGGAAGUGAA
Molecule: non-coding RNA, 1774 nt
Organism: Oryctolagus cuniculus (rabbit)
Lineage: Eukaryota; Metazoa; Chordata; Mammalia; Lagomorpha; Leporidae
Source: RefSeq, a predicted model, not a curated record